Molecule: ribosomal RNA, 506 nt
Filed under: uncultured bacterium
Lineage: Bacteria
Description: partial 16S ribosomal RNA
Rfam family: Bacterial small subunit ribosomal RNA
Source: RNAcentral
GAUGUACGCUAGCUACAGGCUUAACACAUGCAAGUCGAGGGGUAACGAGAGGAAAUCUUGCUUUCCUUGUCGACGACCGGCGCACGGGUGAGGAAUGCGUAUCCAACAUUCCCCCAACUCGGCAAGAACCUUGCGAACGUAAGAAUAAUAGCCUACAAUGUCCGAAGAUUUCAUCUGACGAGGAACAAAGAUUUAUCGGUUGCGGAUGGGUGUGCGUCCGAUUAGCUUGUUGGCGGGGUAACGGCCCACCAAGGCAACGGUCAGUAGGGGUUCUGAGAGGAAGGUCCCCCACAUUGGAACUGAGACACGGUACAAACUCCUACGGGAGGCAGCAGUGAGGAAUAUUGGGCAAUGGGCGGAAGCCUGAACCAGCCAAGUAGCGUGCAGGAUGACGGCCCUAUGGGUUGUAAACUGCUUUUAUACAGGAAUAAAGUUAGCCACCUGUGGUUAUUUGUAGGUACUGUAUGAAUAAGGACCGGCUAAUUCCGUGCCAGCCGCCGCGGUAA